UACGAAGGGGGCUAGCGUUGCUCGGAAUCACUGGGCGUAAAGCGCACGUAGGCGGGUCCUUAAGUCAGGGGUGAAAUCCCGGAGCUCAACUCCGGAACUGCCUUUGAUACUGGGGAUCUUGAGUCCGGAAGAGGUGAGUGGAACUCCGAGUGUAGAGGUGAAAUUCGUAGAUAUUCGGAAGAACACCAGUGGCGAAGGCGGCUCACUGGUCCGGUACUGACGCUGAGGUGCGAAAGCGUGGGGAGCGAACAGG
RNAcentral lists this ribosomal RNA (253 nucleotides) under uncultured bacterium. RNAcentral describes it as "partial 16S ribosomal RNA". It matches the Rfam family "Bacterial small subunit ribosomal RNA", at positions 524 to 776 of the family's 1533-position model. The record is from RNAcentral.